ACCAUGGAUGCUGGAUGAGUACGUCUGUCAACUAAGAUUUUACAUUCACUCAGUAAAUGCCUACUAUGUAUGUACCAGGCACUGUUCUAACUCACAGGAUAAAACAGUGAGUGAAACAGAAAUCCCUGCCCCCAAGGAAUCUGACCAUCAUUUACAUCAAAACAAUUGAAAAACUUAAGAGCAAGCACAAAAAGAAAAGUGUCAGAAUUUGAGGACAUCCAAGUGUCAAUGAUUUUAAUCAAGUUAAAAGAUAUGUUUACCAGAUUCAGCACUAGAAGAAUGUUCUGAAGCAGAACGAGACUCUGAUCGCUGUCUUUUUUUCUUUGAAUGGCUGUCAUCAUCAUCUGAAUCUGAUCCCUACACAAUACAAAUAAUUUCAUUCAUAAUGCUGCUAACAAAUAUUUCAAUACACUUAUGGUGCCAUUUUUAAUAAACUUCCUUACUGAGCGAGA
Lagenorhynchus albirostris (white-beaked dolphin) is the source of this 452-nucleotide long non-coding RNA. RefSeq lists it as uncharacterized. The transcript is spliced from 2 exons. Lineage: Eukaryota; Metazoa; Chordata; Mammalia; Artiodactyla; Delphinidae. The record is from RefSeq and is a predicted model, not a curated record.